AUUGAACGCUGGCGGCAGGCCUAACACAUGCAAGUCGAGCGGAUGAAGGGAGCUUGCUCCUGGAUUCAGCGGCGGACGGGUGAGUAAUGCCUAGGAAUCUGCCUGGUAGUGGGGGAUAACGUCCGGAAACGGGCGCUAAUACCGCAUACGUCCUGCGGGAGAAAGUGGGGGAUCUUCGGACCUCACGCUAUCAGAUGAGCCUAGGUCGGAUUAGCUAGUUGGUGGGGUAAAGGCCUACCAAGGCGACGAUCCGUAACUGGUCUGAGUGGAGGAUCAGUCACACUGGAAGUGGGACACGGUCCAGGCGCCUACGGGAGGCAGCAGUGGGGAAUAUUGGACAAUAGGCGAAAGCCUGAUCCAGCCAUGCCGCGUGUGUGAAGAAGGUCUUCGGAUUGUAAAGCACUUUAAGUUGGGAGGAAGGGCAGUAAGUUAAUACCUUGCUGUUGUGACGUUAACAACAGAAUAAGCACCGGCUAACUUCGUG
This 484-nucleotide ribosomal RNA is filed under the name uncultured bacterium. RNAcentral describes it as "partial 16S ribosomal RNA". It matches the Rfam family "Bacterial small subunit ribosomal RNA", at positions 30 to 507 of the family's 1533-position model. The record is from RNAcentral.